UGGGGAAUUUUGGACAAUGGGGGAAACCCUGAUCCAGCCAUCCCGCGUGUGCGAUGAAGGCCUUCGGGUUGUAAAGCACUUUUGGCAGGAAAGAAACGUCGCGGGUUAAUACCCCGCGAAACUGACGGUACCUGCAGAAUAAGCACCGGCUAACUACGUGCCAGCAGCCGCGGUAAUACGUAGGGUGCAAGCGUUAAUCGGAAUUACUGGGCGUAAAGCGUGCGCAGGCGGUUCGGAAAGAAAGAUGUGAAAUCCCAGAGCUUAACUUUGGAACUGCAUUUUUAACUACCGGGCUAGAGUGUGUCAGAGGGAGGUGGAAUUCCGCGUGUAGCAUGAAAUGCGUAGAUACGCGGAGGAACACCGAUGGCGAAGGCAGCCUCCUGGGAUAACACUGACGCUCAUGCACGAAAGCGUGGGGAGCAAACAGGAUUAGAUACCCUGGUAGUCCACGCCCUAAACGAUGUCAACUAGCUGUUGGGGCCUUCGGGCCUUGGUAGCGCAGCUAACGCGUGAAGUUUGACCGCCUGGGGAGUACGGUCGCAAG
Molecule: ribosomal RNA, 544 nt
Filed under: uncultured bacterium
Lineage: Bacteria
Description: partial 16S ribosomal RNA
Rfam family: Bacterial small subunit ribosomal RNA
Source: RNAcentral